CACGUAGGGUGCGAGCGUUGUCCGGAAUUAUUGGGCGUAAAGAGCUCGUAGGCGGUGUGUCGCGUCGGCCGUGAAAACCUGCAGCUUAACUGUGGGCUUGCGGUCGAUACGGGCAAACUAGAGUAUUGCAGGGGAGACUGGAAUUCCUGGUGUAGCGGUGAAAUGCGCAGAUAUCAGGAAGAACACCGGUGGCGAAGGCGGGUCUCUGGGCAAUAACUGACGCUGAGGAGCGAAAGCGUGGGGAGCGAACAGG
RNAcentral lists this ribosomal RNA (253 nucleotides) under uncultured bacterium. Its description in RNAcentral is "partial 16S ribosomal RNA". It matches the Rfam family "Bacterial small subunit ribosomal RNA", at positions 524 to 776 of the family's 1533-position model. The record is from RNAcentral.